AACGUAGGAGACAAACGUUAUCCGGAGUUACUGGGCGUAAAGGGCGUGCAGGUGGUCUGUUAAGUCUGGCGUGAAAGCUCUCGGCUAAACCGGGAGAGGUCGUUGGAUACUGGCGGACUAGAGGACGGUAGAGGUGUGUGGAAUUCCGGGUGUAGUGGUGAAAUGCGUAGAGAUCCGGAGGAACACCAGUGGCGAAGGCGACACGCUGGGCCGUACCUGACACUAAAACGCGACAGCAUGGGGAGCGAACGGG
RNAcentral lists this ribosomal RNA (253 nucleotides) under uncultured bacterium. RNAcentral's name for it is "partial 16S ribosomal RNA". It matches the Rfam family "Bacterial small subunit ribosomal RNA", at positions 524 to 776 of the family's 1533-position model. The record is from RNAcentral.